GUUUGAUCAUGGGCUCAGAAUGAACGCUGGCGGCGUGCCUAACACAUGCAAGUCGAGCGAGAAAGCCCCUUCGGGGGUGAGUACAGCGGCGGACGAGUGAGUAACACGUGAGGAUCUACCCUUUAGUGAAGAAUACCCUCGAGAAAUCGAGGCUAAUGCUGCAUACGUUUUCCCAGGGAAACCUGGGAAGGGAAAGGUGGCUUUUAUGCUACCGCUAGAGGAUGACCUUGCGGCCUAUUAGCUUGUUGGCGGGGUAAUGGCCCACCAAGGCGAUGAUGGGUAGCCGGCCUGAGAGGGUGAUCGGCCACGCUGGAACUGAGAUACGGUCCAGACUCCUACGGGAGGCAGCAGUGAGGAAUCUUGCGCAAUGGGCGAAAGCCUGACGCAGCGACGCCGCGUGGGGGAUGAAGGUCUUCGGAUCGUAAACUCCUGUUAAGUGGGAAGAAAAGCUCAUCUCUAAUAUAGAUGAGUCAUGACGGUACCACUAGAGAAAGCACCGGCUAACUUCGUGCCAGCAGCCGCGGUAAUACGAGGGGUGCAAGCGUUAUUCGGAAUAACUGGGCGUAAAGGGUGUGUAGACGGCGCAUUAAGUCCGUUGUUAAAUCUUCCGGCCUAACCGGAGGGCUGCAAUGGAUACUGGUGUGCUAGAGGAUGGAAGAGAGAAGUGGAAUUCCCGGGAGUAGCGGGUAAAAUGCGUGGGAUCUCGGGGAGGAACACCGAUGGCAAGGCAGCUUCUUGGUCCAUUCCUGACGUUGAGGCACGAAAGCGUGGGAGCAAACAGGAUUAGAUACCCUUGUAGUCCACGCUGUAAACGAUAAUCACUAGACGUCAGUCCGGCUUAGCUGGAUGGUGUCGAAGCUAACGCGUUAAAGUGAUUCGCCUGGGGACUACGGUCGCAAGACUAAAACUCAAAGGAAUUGACGGGGGUCCGCACAAGCGGUGGAACAUGUGGUUUAAUUCGACACUACGCGAGGAACCUUACCUGGGCUUGACAUGCACUUGACAGCCGUAGAAAUACGGUCUUUCGGGUUUCGGCUCGAACGGGUGCACAGGUGCUGCAUGGCUGUCGUCAGCUCGUGUCGUGAGAUGUUAGGUUAAGUCCUCUAACGAGCGCAACCCUUGCUGCCAGUUGCCACUGCCUUUAAGGUAAAGCACUCUGGUGGGACUGCCUGGGAAACCAGGAGGAAGGUGGGGAUGACGUCAAGUCAUCAUGGUCCUUAUGUCCAGGGCUACACACGUGUUACAAUGGCCGGUACAACGGGCUGCAAAGCCGCGAGGUGGAGCGAAUCCCAAAAAGCCGGUCUAAGUUCGGAUUGAGGUCUGCAAUUCGACCUCAUGAAGCUGAAAUCGCUAGUAACCGCGUAUCAGAACGACGCGGUGAAUACGUUCUCGGACCUUGUACACACCGCCCGUCACACCACGAAAGCUGUCUGUACCCGAUGUCGCCUUAGCUAACCCGAAAGGGAGGCGGGUGCUUAAGGUGUGGAUAGUGAUUGGGGUGAAGUCGUAACAAGG
This 1515-nucleotide ribosomal RNA is filed under the name uncultured delta proteobacterium. Its description in RNAcentral is "16S ribosomal RNA". It matches the Rfam family "Bacterial small subunit ribosomal RNA". The record is from RNAcentral. Lineage: Bacteria; Deltaproteobacteria.